AAACUAACAAGGAUUCCCCUAGUAACUGCGAGUGAAGCGGGAAAAGCUCAAAUUUAAAAUCUGGCAGUCUUUGGCUGUCCGAGUUGUAAUCUAGAGAAGCGUUUUCCGCGCUGGACCGUGUACAAGUCUCUUGGAACAGAGCGUCAUAGAGGGUGAGAAUCCCGUCUUUGACACGGACUACCAGUGCUUUGUGAUGCGCUUUCAAAGAGUCGAGUUGUUUGGGAAUGCAGCUCAAAAUGGGUGGUAAAUUCCAUCUAAAGCUAAAUAUUGGCGAGAGACCGAUAGCGAACAAGUACCGUGAGGGAAAGAUGAAAAGCACUUUGGAAAGAGAGUUAAACAGUACGUGAAAUUGCUGAAAGGGAAACGCUUGAAGUCAGUCGCGUCGUCUAGAACUCAACCUGGCUUUUGCUUGGUGCACUUUCUAGUUGACGGGCCAACAUCAGUUUUGACUGCUGGAAAAAUUCCAUUGGAAUGUGGCACCUUCGGGUGUGUUAUAGCCUUUGGUUGUAUACAGUGGUUGGGACUGAGGACCGCAGCACGCCUUAUGGCCGGGGUUCGCCCACGUACGUGCUUAGGAUGUUGGCGUAAUGGCUUUAAGCGACC
Molecule: ribosomal RNA, 603 nt
Filed under: Mycoacia fuscoatra
Lineage: Eukaryota; Fungi; Basidiomycota; Agaricomycetes; Polyporales; Meruliaceae
Description: LSU rRNA
Rfam family: Eukaryotic large subunit ribosomal RNA
Source: RNAcentral